GCCACGGUCGCGUAAUCUGGUAUCGCGCCGGUCUCGAAAACCGGUUUCCUUUGGAUAUGUGGGUUCAAAUCCUACCUGUGGCG
RNAcentral lists this transfer RNA (83 nucleotides) under Candidatus Woesearchaeota archaeon. Its description in RNAcentral is "tRNA-Ser". It matches the Rfam family "tRNA". Rfam says of the family: Transfer RNA (tRNA) molecules are approximately 80 nucleotides in length. The record is from RNAcentral. Lineage: Archaea; Nanobdellati; Candidatus Woesearchaeota.